CAUUCUAAAACAAGUCAUUUUGUUUGUAAAAAACGUGCUUUGAAAUAUUCAAACCUGUAAACUUUUGCAGUUCAGUGCUAUGUUAUGUUAUUUAAAAUAUUAGAACAGUGGUUUCGUUGGGAUA
Bombyx mori (domestic silkworm) is the source of this 124-nucleotide non-coding RNA. NCBI's taxonomy places the organism in Eukaryota, Metazoa, Arthropoda, Insecta, Lepidoptera, Bombycidae. The record is from RefSeq and is marked provisional.